ACUCAAAUGAAUAGACGGGGGCCCGCACAAGCAGUGGAGUAUGUGGUUUAAUUCGAAGCAACGCGAAGAACCUUACCAGGUCUUGACAUCCCUAGAAGUCGCUUGAGAGAGCGAUGUGCCUACGGGAACUAGGUGACAGGUGGUGCAUGGUUGUCGUCAGCUCGUGUCGUGAGAUGUUGGGUUAAGUCCCGCAACGAGCGCAACCCUUAUUGUUAGUUGCUAACAUUCAGUUGAGCACUCUAACGAGACUGCCGUUGACAAAACGGAGGAAGGUGGGGACGACGUCAAAUCAUCAUGCCCCUUAUGUCCUGGGCUACACACGUACUACAAUGGCUGUAUAACAACGGGAAGCGAAGUCGCGAGGCGGAGCAAAUCCCCAAAAGCAGCCCCAGUUCGGAUUGCAGGCUGAAACUCGCCUGCAUGAAGUUGGAAUUGCUAGUAAUCGCGGAUCAGCAUGCCGCGGUGAAUACGUUCCCGGGCCUUGUACACACCGCCCGU
RNAcentral lists this ribosomal RNA (498 nucleotides) under uncultured bacterium. RNAcentral's name for it is "bacterial SSU rRNA". It matches the Rfam family "Bacterial small subunit ribosomal RNA", at positions 899 to 1397 of the family's 1533-position model. The record is from RNAcentral.